This 396-nucleotide ribosomal RNA is filed under the name uncultured bacterium. RNAcentral describes it as "bacterial SSU rRNA". It matches the Rfam family "Bacterial small subunit ribosomal RNA", at positions 28 to 429 of the family's 1533-position model. The record is from RNAcentral.
GACGAACGCUGGCGGCGUGCUUAACACAUGCAAGUCGAGCGGUAAGGCCCUUUCGGGGGUACACGAGCGGCGAACGGGUGAGUAACACGUGGGUGACCUGCCCUCAGCUCUGGGAUAAGCCUGGGAAACCGGGUCUAAUACUGGAUAUGACUCCAUGACGCAUGUUGUGGGGUGGAAAGCCUUGUGCGGCUGAGGAUGGGCCCGCGGCCUAUCAGCUUGUUGGUGGGGUGANGGCCUACCAAGGCGACGACGGGUAGCCGACCUGAGAGGGCGACCGGCCACACUGGGACUGAGACACGGCCCAGACUCCUACGGGAGGCAGCAGUGGGGAAUCUUGCGCAAUGGGCGAAAGCCUGACGCAGCGACGCCGCGUGAGGGAUGACGGCCUGGUGUAAC